Molecule: ribosomal RNA, 371 nt
Filed under: Antedon bifida
Lineage: Eukaryota; Metazoa; Echinodermata; Crinoidea; Comatulida; Antedonidae
Description: eukaryotic LSU rRNA
Rfam family: Eukaryotic large subunit ribosomal RNA
Source: RNAcentral
NNCGACCUCAGAUCGGGCGAGAAUACCCGCUGAAUUUAAGCAUAUUACUAAGCGGAGGAAAAGAAACUAACAAGGAUUCCCUCAGUAGCGGCGAGUGAAGCGGGAUCAGCCCAGCGCCGAAUCUCCGUGCCUGAACGGUACGCGGGAAAUGUGGCGUAAGAAAGCCCUACUCCGCGCGUGUGCUCGGACUCACGUCCUUCUGAUCGAGGCCUUCCCAUAGAGGGUGUCAGCCCCCAGGCCUGGGCGCGUGCGGACCACGGUUUUCAGGAGUCGGGUUGUUUUGGAAUGCAGCCCAAAGACGGGUGGUAAACUCCAUCCAAGGCUAAAUACUGGCACGAGUCCGAUAGCGAACAAGUACCGUGAGGGAAAGU